AACGAACGCUGGCGGCAGGCCUAACACAUGCAAGUCGAACGGGACCUUCGGGUCUAGUGGCGGACGGGUGAGUAACGCGUGGGAACGUGCCCUUUGGUUCGGAAUAGCCCUGGGAAACUGGGAGUAAUACCGGAUACGGUCGAGAGACGAAAGAUUUAUCGCCGAAGGAUCGGCCCGCGUUGGACUAGGUAGUUGGUGGGGUAAUGGCCUACCAAGCCGACGAUCCAUAGCUGGUUUGAGAGGAUGAUCAGCCACACUGGGACUGAGACACGGCCCAGACUCCUACGUGAGGCAGCAGUGGGGAAUCUUAGACAAUGGGGUAAACCCUGAUCUAGCCAUGCCGCGUGAGCGAUGAAGGCCUUAGGGUUGUAAAGCUCUUUCAGUGGGGAAGAUAAUGACGGUACCCACAGAAGAAGCCCCGGCUAACUCCGUGCCAGCAGCCGCCGUAA
Molecule: ribosomal RNA, 449 nt
Filed under: uncultured bacterium
Lineage: Bacteria
Description: partial 16S ribosomal RNA
Rfam family: Bacterial small subunit ribosomal RNA
Source: RNAcentral